Andrographis paniculata is the source of this 1957-nucleotide long non-coding RNA. RefSeq lists it as uncharacterized. The record is from RefSeq and is a predicted model, not a curated record. Lineage: Eukaryota; Viridiplantae; Streptophyta; Magnoliopsida; Lamiales; Acanthaceae. The transcript is spliced from 3 exons.
UUCUUCGUGAACACUCUCGUGCGGGCCAUCGUCAUCCCACGCUAGAAAUUCAUCUCGGUGAUUGACUUGGAAAGUUUCCAUAAUAUUCAGUUAAAAUGGAUGGUCGUGAUGGAGAUAGAGUGGAUGAUGUGGAAGAUUUAGCGGAUUUGUCUCAAACAACUAAGAAGUCCCGGACAAUGCCAAAUAGCUCAUCAGGUCCUUGUAUUGACAACAGCCUGAAUUUGCCUCAAAUUCAAAAUUCAUUCCCGAACCAAUACAACAUGAACUUUGGUGCGCCUUUCAACCCUAUGCAAUACUAUCAACCCCGAGGUGAUCCCAUGUUUUACACUAAUAUGUGGAGUUUUAUACCAUUUGGGGGUUCACCACAAGUUCCAUAUCACGAGACACAUGCAUCACAAGCCAACAAGUCUCCUUUGACUUUUAACUGUCCACCAUUACAACGUCAACUUAUUUCCCAAAGCAUCCCCGGUGUAAGGUCUACUGAAACAAACCAGCGUGCAAAUAAGAACUGGAGCACUAAAGAGGAUGUUGAGUUGUCCACUUCCUAGUGUAAUAUAACGACGGAUGCGAGUUGGUGUCGGACAAAAAAAAGAAAGGUUAUGGGAGCAAGUAUGCGAGAAUUUUAUUGUUCUUAUGCAAGAGAACCAUGGAGUUAUGAGAUCAGAGAAUAAAAGAACACUGGGAGGUUUUGAGAGAAUCACUGGACGAGAAAUUCGAAACCAAUGUACAAAAUGGUCCGCCAUACGAGUUCAAGCGGAGCCAAAUUAUAGGAGCGGAUGGAGCCCAGCAGAGUUCGAACACUAUUGUCAUGUAACAUAUAAGGACAGACACAAUUCGAGCUUCAAAUGUGAAGCAUGUUGGCAAGUAUUGAAAGAUCCACCCAAGUGGCUAGACCUUGUUGAUAGAAAGAAAAGAAAGACCAAGGAGAGGUCUAGCACUUCUAGGAAAAUUGCAAUAGGGGAGCAAAAUGAGUCUCACAAACCUGUUGAGGUCCUGUCCCCUAGUCUCUCCUAUUGACGGUGGUGUGGAGGAGAUACCUAUAAAUACAGAUUCGUCAGCGAAAGUCCCUACUCAGCAAGAAUUAGAAGGCCUGGCUGUAAUUAAUUUGGAGCGCCCAAUUGGAGUUAAAAAAGCGAAGGCUAGCAACAAAGCAAAUAAUCAACGGCAACGAAGGAUAAGGAAUUAUGAAGAGUCUCAAGCAUCGGUUACUCAAACAAUUACUGCCAAUUUGAUGAAACUUGAAUAUGCAAGUAAUGAAAGAUGGUCAAGAAUUGAGGAGUUCGAUCGAAAAACUCAAUUGCAACUCGAUGAGGAAUAUUAGGUGGUCUUUGAAAGAUCUAAAAAGAAGGUGUUUUCAGAUAUUGACGGUUCUAUUUUUAUUUUUUUUUGAUCUCGUGUUAUGUCAAUACUGUUUACUUCUACUUUCAGGAUUCAAUAGACACAGAGAAAAAAUAUGCAAAUAUAGCAAAAGAGCUUGAAAACAUUGGCGACAAGCUGAUGGGUUCAAUAGCAAGAAUGGAAGAACUGGAUGAGGAAAACAUACGCACCGAGUACCAGGAAAAAUUAUACAAAAUACGGAAGGAGCAAAUGGAGUACUACACACGGGGUUAUAAUAUUAUGAGAUUUUUUUUUUUUUUUCUGAUCUUGUCCAAUUGUAGGGUUGAAAUCAAUUCUUCAAUCGAUUGACGAAGCAAGUCCUCCGAAUGCGGAUGUGGAAACUACAAGUGGUAAACGUACGGAUUGUCGAAAAAGGCUUUUCAAUGAGACAAAUGAGGAUGAUUGUUCCACGGAGAAAUGAACACCUCAUUAUGUGUUUUUUAUGCAAGAUAUCAUUGUUUUGUACUUAAUUAUGCUACUUACUUAAUUGUGCACGUCUGAUCUUCGUUUUGUGCUCAUAGCACUAAUAGAUCCCGUAUGUUUGUUAUGUUCGGUGGGUAUUGCUACCUUUUAUGGUGCA